This 406-nucleotide ribosomal RNA is filed under the name uncultured bacterium. RNAcentral describes it as "bacterial SSU rRNA". It matches the Rfam family "Bacterial small subunit ribosomal RNA", at positions 355 to 775 of the family's 1533-position model. The record is from RNAcentral.
UGGGGAAUAUUGCACAAUGGGGGGAACCCUGAUGCAGCAACGCCGUGUGAAGGAAGAAGUGUUUCGGCACGUAAACUUCUAUCGACAGGGAAGAAAGAGAUGACGGUACCUGAAUAAGAAGCACCGGCUAAAUACGUGCCAGCAGCCGCGGUAAUACGUAUGGUGCAAGCGUUAUCCGGAAUUACUGGGUGUAAAGGGUGAGUAGGCGGUUAUAUAAGUCAUAUGUGAAAGACUGAGGCUCAACCACAGAGUUGCAUAAGAAACUGUAUAACUAGAGUGCAGGAGAGGUAAGCGGAAUUCCUAGUGUAGCGGUGGAAUGCGUAGAUAUUAGGAAGAACACCGGUGGCGAAGGCGGCUUACUGGACUGAAACUGACGCUGAGUCACGAAAGCGUGGGGAGCGAACAG